RNAcentral lists this ribosomal RNA (449 nucleotides) under Punctaria latifolia. RNAcentral's name for it is "SSU rRNA". It matches the Rfam family "Eukaryotic small subunit ribosomal RNA", at positions 1310 to 1776 of the family's 1831-position model. Lineage: Eukaryota; Phaeophyceae; Ectocarpales; Chordariaceae. The record is from RNAcentral.
UUUGUCUGGUUAAUUCCGUUAACGAACGAGACCCCCGCCAGCUAAAUAGUGUGGCUUACGCUUUUGCGUAGGUGCUCGCUUCUUAGAGGGACUUCUGGUGACUAACCAGAGGAAGUUGGGGGCAAUAACAGGUCUGUGAUGCCCUUAGAUGUCCUGGGCCGCACGCGCGCUACACUGAUGCAUGCAACGAGUUUUUUUUCCUGGGUCGAGAGGCCCGGGUAAUCUGUUGAACGUGCAUCGUGAUAGGGAUAGAUCAUUGCAAUUAUUGAUCUUGAACGAGGAAUUCCUAGUAAACGCGAGUCAUCAGCUCGCAUUGAUUACGUCCCUGCCCUUUGUACACACCGCCCGUCGCACCUACCGAUUGAAUCAUUCGGUGAGGAUUCCGGAUUCCGUAGCUUACGCUUCACGGCGUUUUUUACGAAAGAAGUUAUCCAAACCUCAUGAUUUAG